CGGGAUAGCGGCAGCCUACACAUGCAGUCGAGCGGUAGCACAGAGAGCUUGCUCUCGGGUGACGAGCGGCGGACGGGUGAGUAAUGUCUGGGAAACUGCCUGAUGGAGGGGGAUAACUACUGGAAACGGUAGCUAAUACCGCAUAAUGUCGCAAGACCAAAGUGGGGGACCUUCGGGCCUCAUGCCAUCAGAUGUGCCCAGAUGGGAUUAGCUAGUAGGUGGGGUAACGGCUCACCUAGGCGACGAUCCCUAGCUGGUCUGAGAGGAUGACCAGCCACACUGGAACUGAGACACGGUCCAGACUCCUACGGGAGGCAGCAGUGGGGAAUAUUGCACAAUGGGCGCAAGCCUGAUGCAGCCAUGCCGCGUGUGUGAAGAAGGCCUUCGGGUUGUAAAGCACUUUCAGCGGGGAGGAAGGCGGUGAGGUUAAUAACCUUGUCGAUUGACGUUACCCGCAGAAGAAGCACCGGCUAACUCCGUGCCAGCAGCCGCGGUAAUACGGAGGGUGCAAGCGUUAA
RNAcentral lists this ribosomal RNA (518 nucleotides) under Klebsiella variicola. Its description in RNAcentral is "bacterial SSU rRNA". It matches the Rfam family "Bacterial small subunit ribosomal RNA", at positions 37 to 537 of the family's 1533-position model. Lineage: Bacteria; Pseudomonadati; Pseudomonadota; Gammaproteobacteria; Enterobacterales; Enterobacteriaceae. The record is from RNAcentral.